Juglans regia (Persian walnut) is the source of this 3127-nucleotide long non-coding RNA. RefSeq lists it as uncharacterized. The record is from RefSeq and is a predicted model, not a curated record. The transcript has 5 exons. Lineage: Eukaryota; Viridiplantae; Streptophyta; Magnoliopsida; Fagales; Juglandaceae.
UAAAAGGUGUUUUAAACUUUUCAUAGCGCGCCGAACACCAAAAUAGGGGCGGCAAAAGACACAAAAAAAUCUCUCUACUUUUUCCCCUCAAUCUCCGUCAGCUAGAAUCCCAAUUUCCCUUUCCAUUUUCGACUAACCUAGCUGCAAAUCCACUGGAUUUCCACAUAUUCGACCACAGAUUCAGGGUUGGUUGCUACACGACAGGAAAUCAUCCAUAGAUCCGACCCCCUUUCACCUUCUUCCACUGGAUUUUCUGUCUGGGAAAGGCAACAACUCUCCUCCUCUGUUGCAAUCAAUCGUUGGUCUCCAUCUUCUCGCAUUUCCAUAGCAAAAUGCCAAAGCCCUUUGCUUGUUAGCUUCUCAUUUCCACUACAAGCUUAACCCUUUUCCUGCUGGGAAAUUUUUGGGCCAACUUGCCUCUUCCCCCUCCUCCACUCUCCCUUCCCGAUUCCCAAACCCUCUUCCUAUCCAAAUCCCGACGCUUGGUGACUGGCGUCCUAUACACGACUUGGUUCAUCCACAAGAGUUGAUCACGAGUUGGAUUUUAGUCACGUGUAAAGCUCAUCCACAUAUUCAUUGCCCUAGCAGCCUCCUCCACUGGAUUUCCCUGUUUAGAGAGCUCUUUUAUGCACCAUAGGUACCUCUAGAUGUCUUUAUCUAUCUUUCCCCCUUCACCCUCGUUGCUUUCCAAAAAUUGUGCAAUGGGACUUGUAGAAUAUGCAGUCACCAUAAAUUUUUGGCAUGUCCUUUGUUAAAUAUGUUUAUAUCUCUGCCUUUUGUGUACUAGGUGCUCUAUGCUGUGGGUAUUAGUCCAUGGCCUUCCAACAAAUUAAGUUUGCCCCAAUUAUUUCCGUAUGCAAUACCAGCUCCUGAAGUUAGUCUUAGUUAGUAGGGUUCCUUUGACAAGGUUGUACUAUAUAUAGUUUGGAGAAGUUAUGAUAUCUUUGGAAAAAUACAGCACGUGUUUUGUGUUUGCCAGUCGGCCAACGCCAAACUUGUACUAGCUAGUUAGAUUCAUUUCGAUUAUACAGUACUUGAUUUAUAUUAUUCUCUUCAUCUGUACUUAGUACUCCUGAAGGUAAUUCAUGGAGGUUGUCUGCUUGAUCUAGGGUUAAUGUGUUAUGAAUUAUCUCUAUAAACUGGAUAUGGUCAGACUUAACAGUGUUUGGAGUAGUUUGUUUAAUGUUUGUCGUACGUAUUGAGGUGCCUUGACAUUAUGUUGCACCUAAAGUUCAUAUUAAUCGGCUAAAAUGCGACGUACUUGUUUUGAUUCAAUGUUUUCUUUUAGUAUGAGUUGAUGCUGGAUGCUUUCAUUCUUAUACUGAAUGUUCUUUUAAUAUGGAGUUGACUUAGGUGUUGUCGUCUUACUUUAAAGGCUGCAGCUAGUAUUUUUUGCAUUUAUCAUUGACAUUUGUUUCUAUAGUCCAUAUUGAUUAAGGCCUCUUGCAUAUAGUCACUAAGAACCAAAUGACUUUUCACUUGGUUCCUAGUGCUUCCAUUAAAGAAUAAUGCCUCACUCACUAGUAUUCACAUCUAGUAAAUAGAGAUUUCUUAAAUUCCUAUCCAAAUAGUUAUUGUUUCUUGCUUCUUUUUUUUAUAAGUAAAAUACUAUAAACGAUGUUGCACCAGCUGGGAAACUUUUCUUGCUUCUUGAUCAUGAAGUGUUGGGAUAUAGUUAGCAUGGAUAUUUUUGUUGAAGUUCUAUGGAUUUUUUCCAGGGUCUGCCUCUUUCUCUUUAUUUUCUUCAUCUUUAUUAGAUAAAGUUUCUAAAAUGCAAAUUUUUCUAAGAAUAAUAUCUUUUUUUGUGAAAUAUCCCAAGUUUUGAUAAUGAUAAACCUUAUUCUAAUAUUUUCUUCUCUUUGGGUUAGGAUUCAUUGCUAUAGCUGUAGGGAUCUCUAGUUUUGUUUUCUUUUGAAUUUAAGAUUUGGCAGAGUAUUAUACUACCACAUAUUAUGCACUACUUGUUUGUCUAUUUUUUAAUGUUGUUUGAUUGAAUAUUGCUACUGAAUGGAUUUUGCAACUCACUUUAAGUUCAGUGUUGAACAGAUAUUGCCUCAUUAGCAACUUGGUUCACUUCAUUGGACACAUACUUUAAAUAUUCUGAGGUAUUUGUUGCUGAACAGAAGUUUACCUUGGCCUGUUGCUGGUAAACAAAAUGCGCAGCUUGAGGCACCAGAGUUGCACAUGGAGAUAAACAAGCAUGGACUCCUUCAAAUAUAGGUGAGGACCUACAGACAAAGUGCUUGCUCUAGCUCUAUGGUCCAAAGGUCCAAGAUUUGAAGGAAAGUGAUAUGGAGUUAAAGUUGAUUUUGGAAAUGUAUAGAUGUGAAUUUACUGAUUCAAGGUUGCUCAGAUGAUGUGAUAUAUAUUAGUUUGUUUAGUGUUAUGAUGUCAUUGUUCUUAGAAGUUUAUAAGAUCUACAAGGAUGUCAUGGAAGCCAGAGACUCAGAAUAUAAGGCUUGGGCCCAUGUUCAAACUUUGAAAUCCUCUCUUGAUGAGUGCAACUUGGAAUUACGAGUCAAGACUGCAAAUGAGCUGAGGCCAUAUCCCAGCAAAGGCUUGCUGCAGUAGAAGCUGAGAUUGCUAAGCUGAGGCAAAAAUUAGAAGCUUCCAAAAGUUCAAGUGGCUUCUAUGAAUCUGCUUGUGUGCGCAGACAGCUGCAAUUGUACUAAGCUUAACAAGUUGUUGAUUGGUAUGUUGGUUUUUCUGGGAAGCUCUACCUAUUAGUUGGUUUUUCCCUUUCAACUUCAUUUAGGGAUGUAUGGGAUGGUGCUCUGGUUGGGUAUCGAUAUAUUGUCAAUCGGAAAGGCUUGGAAUGUAGCUCUGUUGUGAAGAAUGCCAUGAGUUGAUAUUAGAACGUUUGAGGUUGUUGAUCUUUUUGAGAUCAAACUUAACCUUCAAUUUCAAAGAUCUCAAAUAUAGCCCUUUGAUUGGAUGAUUAUAUCAAGCAUAUUUUUCAUAUGCUUUUUGAGGAUUAGAUUUAGGAGUUUUCCCAUUCCCUUGUUGAGUUUAGUUCUCCUGUAUAUUUCUAAGUUUACUAAGCCUGGUUGGUAUUCUGUGUGAAGACUUGAUGAAUUUUUUUUUUUUUCUCAUUUAGCAUCAUUAUGAUCUAUGGUGCUUUAUAUUA